UUUUUUGCCACCCACAGGCUUGGACUGUUAUACCAGGUGUCUUAUAACAUCACGAAAAGGAUCCCUAUGAGAAGGCAGGCUGUGUCGUGAGCCCAAAAAGCGGGCAUUACGCUUUGUGUGGACAGGGUACACACACACUCAACCCUGUGUGUGGUGUUGUCCUAUUGCCGCUCCCCGGUGAGACCACCGCGGCCGCAAAAAGGACCACCAGCGCCACGGUUGGCCCGAGGCUGCUGCAGACGCAGCUCCCUACGCCGUCCCCUGGCCUCCUGCCCCACCGGCUCAGCUCGCACUCCCAAGGUGCCGGGGGUGGCCCGCUCAUGGUCUAACUCCACUGUGCAGCCACGGCGUUCCGGGAAGCGCCAGUGACAUUUGGGGGGUAAUUGUGUGUUCACUGUUCAUGUUCUGCCUGCACUUUCUCUGUGGAGACAAAUGUGUGCCCUAAGAGCAUGUUCCCUGGCCCGCUGCUGCCUCAGCUGGGUCAGCGGCCGCCGUUAAACACAUUUCCCCCACAAUGUACGGAUUGGUUUUUUUCACAUUCUUGUCAUCCCAGCACACAGGAAGUUCCUGCGCUUCUCUUUCCAGGGCGUCCAGUAUCAACCGCCUGCCGUUCGGUUACUCUCUGGCCCCAUGCACCUUCUCCAAGUGCAUCGAGACAGCCUUGGAGCCGCUGCAGUGGGCGAGCAUCAUAGUCCUGUUUUACCUGGACGACCUGCUGCUGCUGGCAUGGUCCUGGGACGAGGCAUUGGUGCAAACGGCCAAGCUCGUUGCACACCUGUCUCGCCUGGGUUUUUCACGGUGAACUGGGAAAAAUCGCUCCUUUUCCUUCCCAUGCACUCACCUACCUGGGCGUGGUGCUGGAUUCCUCCCUCCUGAGAGAGCGGCUCUCCCUGGAGCUCUGACACAGCUGCUCCGCCAUGUGGCUCCGCCAAAGACAAAGAUGUUUCACCUGGACAUGAAGGACCACUUGAUGUCACAGCUUUUGAUCAGCCAUCUGCAACAGAGUCCCAGUCCACUGGGUCACACCACAAGUUGGAAAUUACAACUACAGUUGAUUCAGUAACCUCUGGAUCUGUUGGGUCAGAUGUACG
Long non-coding RNA from Micropterus dolomieu (smallmouth bass), 1091 nucleotides. RefSeq lists it as uncharacterized. Lineage: Eukaryota; Metazoa; Chordata; Actinopteri; Centrarchiformes; Centrarchidae. The record is from RefSeq and is a predicted model, not a curated record. The transcript has 3 exons.